GGUUAAGUGACUAAGCGUACACGGUGGAUGCCUAGGCAGUCAGAGGCGAUGAAGGGCGUGCUAAUCUGCGAAAAGCGUCGGUAAGGUGAUAUGAACCGUUAUAACCGGCGAUACCCGAAUGGGGAAACCCAGUGUGUUUCGACACACUAUCAUGUCAUGAAUACAUAGUGGCAUGAGGCGAACCGGGGGAACUGAAACAUCUAAGUACCCCGAGGAAAAGAAAUCAACCGAGAUUCCCCCAGUAGCGGCGAGCGAACGGGGAGGAGCCCAGAACCUGAAUCGGCUUGUGUGUUAGUGGAAGCGUCUGGAAAGUCGCGCAGCAAAGGGUGAUAGCCCCGUACACUAAAAUGCACAGGUCGUGAGUUCGAUGAGUAGGGCGGGACACGUGACAUCCUGUCUGAAUAUGGGGGGACCAUCCUCCAAGGCUAAAUACUCCUGACUGACCGAUAGUGAACCAGUACCGUGAGGGAAAGGCGAAAAGAACCCCGGCGAGGGGAGUGAAAUAGAACCUGAAACCGUGUACGUACAAGCAGUGGGAGCACCUUCGUGGUGUGACUGCGUACCUUUUGUAUAAUGGGUCAGCGACUUAUAUUUUGUAGCAAGGUUAACCGUAUAGGGGAGCCGUAGGGAAACCGAGUCUUAACUGGGCGAUUAGUUGCAAGGUAUAGACCCGAAACCCGGUGAUCUAGCCAUGGGCAGGUUGAAGGUUGGGUAACACUAACUGGAGGACCGAACCGACUAAUGUUGAAAAAUUAGCGGAUGACUUGUGGCUGGGGGUGAAAGGCCAAUCAAACCGGGAGAUAGCUGGUUCUCCCCGAAAGCUAUUUAGGUAGCGCCUCGUGAACUCAUCUUCGGGGGUAGAGCACUGUUUCGGCUAGGGGGCCAUCCCGGCUUACCAAACCGAUGCAAACUCCGAAUACCGAAGAAUGUUAUCACGGGAGACACACGGCGGGUGCUAACGUCCGUCGUGAAGAGGGAAACAACCCAGACCGCCAGCUAAGGUCCCAAAGUCAUGGUUAAGUGGGAAACGAUGUGGGAAGGCAUAGACAGCCAGGAUGUUGGCUUAGAAGCAGCCAUCAUUUAAAGAAAGCGUAAUAGCUCACUGGUCGAGUCGGCCUGCGCGGAAGAUGUAACGGGGCUAAACCAUGCACCGAAGCUGCGGCAGCGACGCUUAGGCGUUGUUGGGUAGGGGAGCGUUCUGUAAGCCGUUGAAGGUGGCCUGUGAGGGUUGCUGGAGGUAUCAGAAGUGCGAAUGCUGACAUAAGUAACGAUAAAGCGGGUGAAAAGCCCGCUCGCCGGAAGACCAAGGGUUCCUGUCCAACGUUAAUCGGGGCAGGGUGAGUCGACCCCUAAGGCGAGGCUGAAAAGCGUAGUCGAUGGGAAACAGGUUAAUAUUCCUGUACUUGGUGUUACUGCGAAGGGGGGACGGAGAAGGCUAGGCUAGCCGGGCGACGGUUGUCCCGGUUUAAGCGUGUAGGGGGUGUGACCUGGUAAAUCCGGUUGCAUA
RNAcentral lists this ribosomal RNA (1507 nucleotides) under Serratia marcescens. Its description in RNAcentral is "partial 23S ribosomal RNA". It matches the Rfam family "Bacterial large subunit ribosomal RNA", at positions 1 to 1552 of the family's 2925-position model. Lineage: Bacteria; Pseudomonadati; Pseudomonadota; Gammaproteobacteria; Enterobacterales; Yersiniaceae. RNAcentral also lists the same sequence under 1 other name. The record is from RNAcentral.